Molecule: long non-coding RNA, 1619 nt
Filed under: Elaeis guineensis (African oil palm)
Lineage: Eukaryota; Viridiplantae; Streptophyta; Magnoliopsida; Arecales; Arecaceae
Description: long non-coding RNA (EGUI_LNC030938)
Source: RNAcentral
ACAUAUUUUGGUGGUCUCUAACCUAUGCAUCAUGUGGAUAUGAAAAUGGAUAGCUUUCAUUGUGUUAAUGUGCAAAAGUGAUAAAGUUGAGAAUCCACCUUAUUGAUUAUGAUAUAUACAUGUUAAAACUUUUAGUGCUUAGAUCAUAACAAAACAUGGUCACAUCAAAUUUUCAUUUUUGUGCUCACUUAGUGUAUAGGUUAAAGACUACUAAAACAUGUGAUUUUUGAAUUCUAAGCAUUUUAAAUGGUAUAGAUUAUGAUCAAUGAUGUGGAUCUUUGAUUUGGGUGCCUCAUUGUUGUUUUUGGAGUCAAGAGUCAGGAGGAGUAGAUAUCCUUUCCUCUUGCGAGAAGUGCACACACAUUUAUAUUUAUAGAUAUUACAAAAUUUGAUCAUAUUGUCAACAGUCAGGGUGGUGUAUGCAUUUGAAGUAAUUGACAUCUGCCAAAUUUUCAAAUUCCCCAAGCAGCAACAGUACUUUCCAAUGGAUAAUGUUAUAACUUAGGGUCUUUGAUUGCAAUGAUGAACAGUCAAACCAAAAUUUUUUAGCUUGGCUCUUGGAAUUUGGAAAAGGACACUGAACUUAGAGAUUUCUGCUUGAUGUGUAGAAUUCAAUAUGAAAUAAAAUUGUUAGUAGAAGCCCUAAUGUUUCAAAGCAUCAUAUUGACCCAAGAGGAUCACAGACCUGUUGUGGACCAAUGCCACUACUUCUGAUAGGUCUGAAUGGGGUAUGGGAGAAAGAUCUGUCACAACUCACAUCUAUGAUUUUAAUUUCGAAAAAGAAACUUUGGGAAGCCAUAACUUUCCAAUUCUGGAGGAAUUAGGUAAUGUGCUAAAUAAUAAAUUUGAUUUCAAUGUAAAAUUAUUACUAUUUUAGAAAACUUUUUACCUCUUGUAAGUAGAAGAGGAAUCUGACCUAGACUUUGAAAGGGUGGAACUUACUAGUAUAAAUAGAGGCCUUGUACCAUAGUUUUGAACACAUUUUGGAAGAAAGUAUAAAGGGGUACUACCCUGCUUUAUGCCUUUUUAACUAGAGGAAUUUGACCCAAGUUUGGGGACUUGAAUUUCACUAGUAUAAAUAGAGGAUCUGUGUAAUAGUAGGGCAUAGAACCUUGCUUUUGAAAUUUCUUUAUAUACUCUAUUAUUUUAUUCUGAGAGAUUCAAGUUGAGUGGGAUGAUGAAUUUUUUCUUCUCUCACUUUGGAUCAUGAAGUGAAUUAUCGAGCAGUCAACUAGAAAUCAAAGGACCUGAAAUGAAUAUUGACUGAAGGAUGCAAUCAUUCAUUGGAAAGGAUUCACGUUUAGAUCAUAAUAAAUGCAGGCCAUAAUAAUUGUUGUUAGUGUUAUAUGAUGUUCUUUAAUGAUAUAAGCUGUUGAAAUUAAUGGUUUAUGAUGAACAAGUUCUUUUGGGAGUAAACACAUACACACGUAUAUUAUUAAGGUAACAUACAUAUAUUGUAGGAACCAUUGUGCCAGUUUUAUUGAAAUUCGCAUGUUUGUCUUCGAGAAAAUAUAUUGCUUGGGCUCAAUUUUGUGGUGACACAAAAAAGAGAAACUCAUGGCAGCACAAGAUCAUCAUAAUUCAUCUUUUAAGUCUUUGCAAAGUAAAAUUGAGAGGAA